AUACGGAGGGUGCAAGCGUUAAUCGGAAUUACUGGGCGUAAAGCGCGCGUAGGCGGUUUUGUAAGUCGGAUGUGAAAGCCCAGGGCUCAACCUUGGAAUUGCAUUCGAAACUGCAUGACUAGAGGAUGGUAGAGGGAAGUGGAAUUCCAGGUGUAGCGGUGAAAUGCGUAGAUAUCUGGAGGAACAUCAGUGGCGAAGGCGACUUCCUGGACCAAUACUGACGCUGAGGUGCGAAAGCGUGGGGAGCAAACAGGAUUAGAUACCCCAGUAGUCC
This 274-nucleotide ribosomal RNA is filed under the name uncultured bacterium. Its description in RNAcentral is "partial 16S ribosomal RNA". It matches the Rfam family "Bacterial small subunit ribosomal RNA", at positions 523 to 796 of the family's 1533-position model. The record is from RNAcentral.